GUGUGUCUUCAAUAUAGGGUUGGUAAACUUGGAGAACUGGAGUUGUUCAGGAUUGCUGAAGAUGAAAAUUGCUUUAAUCACAGUGGAGCUAAAGGCUAGAGGCGGCAGGAUGUGGCUAAAGAACCACAAAAAGAACAUUCCUUUUUGGAAAGACUGAUAUAUUGUAUUUUAAUGACCCUACCAUUUAAAGUCAUCUGAGGAUCAACCAUCCCUUUUUGCAUCUUUGAAAUGUGUUCAUCUUUGCGGAAUAUAGAAUAUCAUGGUGAAGGUUGAUGGUGAUUGAGGAGUCACAUAUAAAAUAUUAAUGGUGAUUUGGAACUGGAAAAAUGCACAGUUGUAGAGAACUGCCAAGAUGGCCUGUGGACCUUCACUAUUACUGCUUCAAGUAGACUUCUAAAUGUUUCUGCCUUGACCUUUUGUGGAAACAAAAACACGUCUUAGAAGAUCAGUUGAACAAAGCAAGUGAC
This 467-nucleotide long non-coding RNA is filed under the name Vombatus ursinus (common wombat). RNAcentral's name for it is "lncRNA (ENSVURG00010019468.1)". The record is from RNAcentral. Lineage: Eukaryota; Metazoa; Chordata; Mammalia; Diprotodontia; Vombatidae.